This 492-nucleotide ribosomal RNA is filed under the name uncultured bacterium. Its description in RNAcentral is "partial 16S ribosomal RNA". It matches the Rfam family "Bacterial small subunit ribosomal RNA", at positions 29 to 507 of the family's 1533-position model. The record is from RNAcentral.
AGUGAACGCUGGCGGUAGGCCUAACACAUGCAAGUCGAACGGCAGCACAGUAAGAGCUUGCUCUUACGGGUGGCGAGUGGCGGACGGGUGAGGAAUACAUCGGAAUCUACUUUUUCGUGGGGGAUAACGUAGGGAAACUUACGCUAAUACCGCAUACGCCCUACGGGUGAAAGCAGGGGAUCUUCGGACCUUGCGCGAUUGAAUGAGCCGAUGUCGGGUUAGCUAGUUGGCGGGGUAAAGGCCCACCAAGGCGAGGAUCCGUAGCUGGUCUGAGGGGAUGAUCAGCCACACUGGAACUGAGACACGGUCCAGACUCCUACGGGAGGCAGCAGUGGGGAAUAUUGGACAAUGGGCGCAAGCCUGAUCCAGCCAUACCGCGUGGGUGAAGAAGGCCUUCGGGUUGUAAAGCCCUUUUGUUGGGAAAGAAAAGCAGCAGGUUAAUACCCCGCUGUUCUGACGGUACCCAAAGAAUAAGCACCGGCUAACUUCGUG